This 495-nucleotide ribosomal RNA is filed under the name uncultured bacterium. Its description in RNAcentral is "partial 16S ribosomal RNA". It matches the Rfam family "Bacterial small subunit ribosomal RNA", at positions 28 to 507 of the family's 1533-position model. The record is from RNAcentral.
GACGAACGCUGGCGGCGUGCCUAAUACAUGCAAGUAGAACGCUGAAGGAGGAGCUUGCUUCUCUGGAUGAGUUGCGAACGGGUGAGUAACGCGUAGGUAACCUGCCUGGUAGCGGGGGAUAACUAUUGGAAACGAUAGCUAAUACCGCAUAAGAGUAGAUGUUGCAUGACAUUUGCUUAAAAGGUGCAAUUGCAUCACUACCAGAUGGACCUGCGUUGUAUUAGCUAGUUGGUGGGGUAACGGCUUACCAAGGCGACGAUACAUAGCCGACCUGAGAGGGUGAUCGGCCACACUGGGACUGAGACACGGCCCAGACUCCUACGGGAGGCAGCAGUAGGGAAUCUUCGGCAAUGGACGGAAGUCUGACCGAGCAACGCCGCGGGAGUGAAGAAGGUUGUCGGAUCGUAAAGCUCGGUUGUAAGAGAAGAACGAGUGUGAGAGUGGAAAGUUCACACUGUGACGGUAUCUUACCAGAAAGGGACGGCUAACUACGUG